Molecule: ribosomal RNA, 429 nt
Filed under: uncultured bacterium
Lineage: Bacteria
Description: bacterial SSU rRNA
Rfam family: Bacterial small subunit ribosomal RNA
Source: RNAcentral
UAGGGAAUAUUGCGCAAUGGGCGAAAGCCUGACGCAGUGACACCGUGUGAAGGAUGAAGACCUUAGGGUUGUAAACUUCUGUCAAUUGAGGACGAAGGUAGUAGGGUUAAUAGCCUGAAUACUGACGGUACUUAAUAAGGAAGUCUCGGCUAACUCCGUGCCAGCAGCCGCGGUAAGACGGGGGAGGCAAGCGUUGUUCGGAAUUAUUGGGCGUAAAGAGCGCGUAGGUGGCUUUUCAAGUCAUAUGUGAAAACCUCAGGCUUAACUUGAGGAUUGCAUGUGAAACUGGAAAACUUGAGUGCAGUAGAGGAAAGUGGAAUUCCUGGUGUAGCGGUGAAAUGCGCAGAUAUCAGGAAGAACACCAGCGGCGAAGGCGGCUUUCUGGGCUGCUACUGACGCUGAGGCGCGAAAGCUAGGGGAGCGAACAGG